Long non-coding RNA from Amblyraja radiata (thorny skate), 543 nucleotides. RefSeq lists it as uncharacterized. The transcript has 2 exons. Lineage: Eukaryota; Metazoa; Chordata; Chondrichthyes; Rajiformes; Rajidae. The record is from RefSeq and is a predicted model, not a curated record.
GAUCGAUCAGCCAUGAUUGAAUGGCAGAGUAGACUUGAUGGGCCGAAUGGCCUAAUUCUGAUCCUAUCACAUAUGACCUUAUGAUAAAUACCAUGGUGCAAGAACAAGUUGGCUGAAUAUCCUGCAGAGAGUGACAUGCUUCCUGACACCCAAAAUUUACAAGGGACAAGUCAGGAACACUCCAUUUGUCUGGGUGAGUGCAGCUUGAAAACGUAAGAAGCUUAUCAACAUAUGCGAUGAAGCAGUCCUCAUGAUUGACACCCUAUCCUUCCACCCGUAAACACUAACUUCCUCCACACCAGUGCCCAGUGGCUGUUGUCUGUAUCAUGUAACAACAAAUACAUUGCAGUUACUUACCAAGGUCCUCCAGAAUCACCCAAAUCUAGAAUCACCCCCAUCCCCACUACCCCUCUCCAGUUCCCACCAUCUCGGCUUGAAAAUAUAUCAGCAAUCCUUCAUUAUUGCUGGGUGUCAUUUCAACUGGAAACUCACUAAUUGAAAAUUAUUUCUGCAUAUGUCAGAAAUGCUCCAUCACAAAAAUAU